AGGACGAACGCUGGCGGCGUGCUUAACACAUGCAAGUCGAGCGGAAAGGCCCUUCGGGGUACUCGAGCGGCGAACGGGUGAGUAACACGUGAGCAACCUGCCCUUAGCUUCGGGAUAGCUCCGGGAAACCGGAAUUAAUACCGGAUAUGACUAUGGCCGACAUCAGCCAUGGUGGAAAGUUUUUCGGCUAGGGAUGGACUCGCGGCCUAUCAGCUAGUUGGUGAGGUAACGGCUCACCAAGGCGACGACGGGUAGCCGGCCUGAGAGGGCGACCGGCCACACUGGGACUGAGACACGGCCCAGACUCCUACGGGAGGCAGCAGUGGGGAAUAUUGCGCAAUGGGCGAAAGCCUGACGCAGCGACGCCGCGUGGGGGAUGAAUGCCUUCGGGUUGUAAACCCCUUUCAGCAGGGACGAAGCGAAAGUGACGGUACCUGCAGAAGAAGCGCCGGCUAACUACGCGCUAGCAGCCGC
RNAcentral lists this ribosomal RNA (474 nucleotides) under uncultured bacterium. RNAcentral's name for it is "SSU rRNA". It matches the Rfam family "Bacterial small subunit ribosomal RNA", at positions 26 to 518 of the family's 1533-position model. The record is from RNAcentral.